UACGGAGGGGGCUAGCGUUGUUCGGAAUUACUGGGCGUAAAGCGCGCGUAGGCGGGCUGGCCAGUUGGGGGUGAAAUCCCGAGGCUUAACCUCGGAACUGCCCUCAAUACUGUCAGCCUCGAGUCCGGGAGAGGUGAGUGGAAUUCCUAGUGUAGAGGUGAAAUUCGUAGAUAUUAGGAAGAACACCAGUGGCGAAGGCGGCUCACUGGCCCGGUACUGACGCUGAGGCGCGAAAGCGUGGGGAGCAAACAGG
Molecule: ribosomal RNA, 253 nt
Filed under: uncultured bacterium
Lineage: Bacteria
Description: partial 16S ribosomal RNA
Rfam family: Bacterial small subunit ribosomal RNA
Source: RNAcentral